This is a long non-coding RNA of Fukomys damarensis (Damara mole-rat), 751 nucleotides long. RefSeq lists it as uncharacterized. The record is from RefSeq and is a predicted model, not a curated record. The transcript has 4 exons. Lineage: Eukaryota; Metazoa; Chordata; Mammalia; Rodentia; Bathyergidae.
UCAAAAUAUAUCAAUGGAAACUCCCGUGCUCAUUUCAUUACUAAGAUACGUUGGUCUGUGUCAAAGGUGAUGGUUACAAUUUUCAUAAAGUGAAGAUUAUUCUCCUGUCUCAUAAUACAAGUUCUGUGCUUCUCAAACUACCCAGGACCUUUACAUGUCUUGGGUCAUCGGGAAGCUGCCUUCCCACAGGAACCUCCAAGGACCCCAAAUCCUGGCAACACUUCCCAGCCUCUUGCCCUUGUGCUCAGUGCAUUGUGAUCAAUAAGAUAUUUUGGAGGAAAUCAAUCCCUUUAGAGCAGCCAUCCAAACACACGCAUGACUAAUAGAGUUAACCCUUCCUAGAACUAUUGCAUUUCAGAGAGAACUUGUAACCUCAACUGAAUUAUCUACUAACGCAACAGACAGCCGGCUGAUGUCCGCCUGAGAAGAGAAGGUUUGGGCAGACAAGGUGGCAGCAGAGGCCACACUGGGACACCCAAGAAGGCAGCGCCAGCGAGACAAGGAGCCAGGCUCAGGAGAAACUCAUCCUGCCUUCUCCUUGACCUUCCACUUCCAGCCUCCAAAACUAGAAACAUCAUGAGGUAUUGAUGGUGAAGAGAUCCCUAACGUCCCAGACUGGUUUCCAGCAACAUGAGGGAGUUAGGGAAAGCAGAGAGAAAUUUAACACAGACUGAGAAGAAAGUGAUGUGAAGGUGAAGAAGAGAGACCUGUGAAGAUGUGGGCUCUGACCACAAAUCAUGGAAAACCAGUG